This is a non-coding RNA of Ictidomys tridecemlineatus (thirteen-lined ground squirrel), 893 nucleotides long. The record is from RefSeq and is a predicted model, not a curated record. NCBI's taxonomy places the organism in Eukaryota, Metazoa, Chordata, Mammalia, Rodentia, Sciuridae.
AGGUCCCUCGGGCCCCUGCUGCCCGCGAUCGCCACUGAGCCUCCUGUGCCAGCUGAUGGGCUUCAACCCGCCGCUGCCAGUGCGUCCCUGGUGGGAGCAGGACGGGGUCUUUGGCGCUCGAAUUUGUGCUUGGAGGGGUCUGCGCACCUGGAUCCUAGUACACCUGCUGGCCCCAAGGCCCUCGAGCGGAAGGCGGCGACAGAAAUCAGUUCCCCUCCUGGAGGGCCAAGUGGGGAACACCUUGAGAGCCUGCCGUCGUUCUCCCGCUCUCCCGAGGGUCUCCUAAAAGGUCUGAAUGCCUGGGCGUCAGCAGUCAAGGAGGGCCGCCGGUUGGAGAACCCCGUCCAGCCUGCAGCCUGUGCCAAGAGCUCCUCAGGGUCAUCUUGUGCGUCCCUCUUGCUCGGACCUUGUGGUACUCUGUUCAAUACAGCUCCCAUCACCCCACCUCCACCACCGUUUGGGGGGAGGUGCCCCAGGAGAAGGAGCAGGCUGGGACCCCUGGGCUGCCUGGCUUUCUGGUUGGGUUCCCAUUCAGUUCCCACUUUUAUUUUUCUACUUUACCCGUUUAAUUAUGGAGUUAAACCAGGUGCUGCGGGACUCCCCCUUUGUCAGCCACAUUACAGCACGGAAGGUGACUGUCUCUAGAGUCUGUUACUCUGAAUUCCAUCAAGGAUGGUAAAAACAGGCUUGUUAAAGCUGUUCCUUCUUCCACCGGAGGAAGAGGUUCACCUGGACAAAGACAUGCAGGAGCUGGGGGGGGGUGGGCAUCAAGAGGAGGCCCAACCUUCCACCCCAAGGGGCCUGGAAGCAAGCGAACAUCUGUCUGUGUACAACAAUCAAGUUCUAUUUUUGUAAUUAAAAAUACAUUCAAAGGAAAAAGGAAACAAAAAGAA